Molecule: ribosomal RNA, 253 nt
Filed under: uncultured bacterium
Lineage: Bacteria
Description: partial 16S ribosomal RNA
Rfam family: Bacterial small subunit ribosomal RNA
Source: RNAcentral
UACGUAGGGUCCGAGCGUUAAUCGGAAUUACUGGGCGUAAAGCGUGCGCAGGCGGUUUUGUAAGCCAGAUGUGAAAGCCCCGGGCUCAACCUGGGAACUGCAUUUGGGACUGCAAGGCUGGAGUACGGCAGAGGGAGGUGGAAUUCCACGUGUAGCAGUGAAAUGCGUAGAGACGUGGAGGAACACCGAUGGCGAAGGCAGCCUCCUGGGCUAGUACUGACGCUCAUGCACGAAAGCGUGGGGAGCAAACAGG